Lynx canadensis (Canada lynx) is the source of this 258-nucleotide long non-coding RNA. RefSeq lists it as uncharacterized. The transcript is spliced from 3 exons. NCBI's taxonomy places the organism in Eukaryota, Metazoa, Chordata, Mammalia, Carnivora, Felidae. The record is from RefSeq and is a predicted model, not a curated record.
GACAUUGCCCAGAAAGCAUCAGUGGGGGGAUCACUGCAAUCUUGGCGUCCCUUGGCCUGUAGAAGCAUCACCCCAUCUCGGCCCCAUCUUCGCGGGGCUUCUCCCCGCUAGUGAGUCCCAACGUCCCCUCAGUCAUUGCUUUAGGGCCCACCCUACUCCAGCGUGACCUCACCCCAACUAACUAUACCUGCAACAACCCUAUUCCCAAAUAAGGUCCCCUUCUGAGGUCUGAGGGUCAGGACUUCGACAUACGGAUCU